CNUUUUAGAGUUUUGNUUCAUGGCUCAGGACGAACGCUGGCGGCGUGCCUAAUACAUGCAAGUCGAGCGGACAGAUGGGAGCUUGCUCCCUGAUGUUAGCGGCGGACGGGUGAGUAACACGUGGGUAACCUGCCUGUAAGACUGGGAUAACUCCGGGAAACCGGGGCUAAUACCGGAUGGUUGUUUGAACCGCAUGGUUCAAACAUAAAAGGUGGCUUCGGCUACCACUUACAGAUGGACCCGCGGCGCAUUAGCUAGUUGGUGAGGUAACGGCUCACCAAGGCGACGAUGCGUAGCCGACCUGAGAGGGUGAUCGGCCACACUGGGACUGAGACACGGCCCAGACUCCUACGGGAGGCAGCAGUAGGGAAUCUUCCGCAAUGGACGAAAGUCUGACGGAGCAACGCCGCGUGAGUGAUGAAGGUUUUCGGAUCGUAAAGCUCUGUUGUUAGGGAAGAACAAGUACCGUUCGAAUAGGGCGGUACCUUGACGGUACCUAACCAGAAAGCCACGGCUAACUACGUGCCAGCAGCCGCGGUAAUACGUAGGUGGCAAGCGUUGUCCGGAAUUAUUGGGCGUAAAGGGCUCGCAGGCGGUUUCUUAAGUCUGAUGUGAAAGCCCCCGGCUCAACCGGGGAGGGUCAUUGGAAACUGGGGAACUUGAGUGCAGAAGAGGAGAGUGGAAUUCCACGUGUAGCGGUGAAAUGCGUAGAGAUGUGGAGGAACACCAGUGGCGAAGGCGACUCUCUGGUCUGUAACUGACGCUGAGGAGCGAAAGCGUGGGGAGCGAACAGGAUUAGAUACCCUGGUAGUCCACGCCGUAAACGAUGAGUGCUAAGUGUUAGGGGGUUUCCGCCCCUUAGUGCUGCAGCUAACGCAUUAAGCACUCCGCCUGGAGACGCAG
Molecule: ribosomal RNA, 903 nt
Filed under: Bacillus subtilis
Lineage: Bacteria; Bacillati; Bacillota; Bacilli; Caryophanales; Bacillaceae
Description: bacterial SSU rRNA
Rfam family: Bacterial small subunit ribosomal RNA
Source: RNAcentral